UUUGUUGCUAGGAAAUAUGGUAAAGAAAGAGAGCCUUGGGUUCAGAAACCCAUGCCCUUUCCUCCCAAACCAUCCAAGAAAAAGGAUGAUGAGGAUUUUGAGCACUUUGCUGAAAUGAUUAGACCUAUCUUUUUGCAUAUGCGAUUAACUAAUAUGCUCAAAACCAAUCCUUAUGCUAAGUACAUGAAAGAUAUUAUUACAAAUAAAAGAAAGAUACCGGAAGCUGAAAUUUCCACCAUGCUUGCUAAUUACACUUUUAAGGGUGGAAUACCAAAGAAACUUGGAGAUCCAGGAGUACCCACUAUACCAUCCUCCAUUAAAAGAAAUUAUGUUAAAACUGCUUUAUGUAAUCUUGGAGCCGGUGUUAGUGUU
Molecule: ribosomal RNA, 372 nt
Filed under: Triticum aestivum (bread wheat)
Lineage: Eukaryota; Viridiplantae; Streptophyta; Magnoliopsida; Poales; Poaceae
Description: partial small subunit ribosomal RNA
Source: RNAcentral